This 339-nucleotide unclassified non-coding RNA is filed under the name soil metagenome. RNAcentral's name for it is "partial contains 5.8S ribosomal RNA, internal transcribed spacer 2, and large subunit ribosomal RNA". The stretch from base 1 to 120 matches the Rfam family "5.8S ribosomal RNA", at positions 35 to 154 of the family's 154-position model. The record is from RNAcentral.
GAUGAAGAACGUAGCGAAAUGCGAUAAGUAGUGUGAAUUGCAGAAUUCAGUGAAUCAUCGAAUCUUUGAACGCACAUUGCGCCCUUUGGUAUUCCUUAGGGCAUGCCUGUUCGAGCGUCAUUUAAACCUUCAAGCUCAGCUUGGUGUUGGGUGACUGUCUGCCGCCUCCGGGCGCGUGGACUCGCCUCAAAAUUAUUGGCGGCCGGUACAUUGGCUUCGAGCGCAGCAGAAACGCGAACUCGGGCCCGUCGUAUUGGCUCCCAGAAGCUAUCUUCACAAUUUUGACCUCGGAUCAGGUAGGGAUACCCGCUGAACUUAAGCAUAUCAAUAAGCGGAGGA